Molecule: long non-coding RNA, 335 nt
Organism: Pipistrellus kuhlii (Kuhl's pipistrelle)
Lineage: Eukaryota; Metazoa; Chordata; Mammalia; Chiroptera; Vespertilionidae
Exons: 3
Source: RefSeq, a predicted model, not a curated record
UCCAACUACUUGAUUUCAAACCAAGUAGAUUUUAUGUUUAGAAACACUAGGAAAAAAGGUGUUUCAUUUAUAAAUAUAUAAGGAACAAAAAUAACACUGUAUCAAGCCACAUAAAAAAUUAAAUAUUUUUGAGGACAAAAAUAUAAAAUUUAGUCAACUCUACUGUUUUCUAGGCUGAUAAAUAUCACAGUAUUUGCAAAUACAGCUAAAAAUGCAACCUUUGAAAGCUGUACUUCUAGUCAUUUCCCACUGACCAUUUUGUAAUUCUGCAUGUUGUUUUAUGGAUAGCAAUAUGCUUCACUGUGUAUGUCUGGAAACCUGUAACAGUUCUCAUU